This 253-nucleotide ribosomal RNA is filed under the name uncultured bacterium. RNAcentral describes it as "partial 16S ribosomal RNA". It matches the Rfam family "Bacterial small subunit ribosomal RNA", at positions 524 to 776 of the family's 1533-position model. The record is from RNAcentral.
UACGGAGGGCGCAAGCGUUGCUCGGAAUCACUGGGCGUAAAGGGUGCGUAGGCGGCCGGGCAAGUCUGGCGUGAAAGCCCCGGGCUCAGCCCGGGAAGGGCGCUCGAAACGGCGCGGCUCGAGUGCCGGAGGGGAGAGUGGAAUUCCUGGUGUAGCGGUGAAAUGCGUAGAUAUCAGGAGGAAUACCGGUGGCGAAGGCGUGCUGCUGGGCCGUUGCUGACGCUGAGGCGCGAAAGCGUGGGGAGCAAACAGG